UACGGAGGAUCCAAGCGUUAUCCGGAAUUACUGGGCGUAAAGAGUUGCGUAGGUGGCAUAGUAAGCGAGUAGUGAAAGCGUGUGGCUCAACCAUACAUCCAUUACUUGAACUGCUAAGCUAGAGUAUGAGAGAGGUAGAUGGAAUUCCCUGUGUAGGAGUGAAAUCCGUAGAUAUAGGGAGGAACACCGAUGGCGUAGGCAGUCUACUGGCUCAUUACUGACACUAAGGCACGAAAGCGUGGGGAGCAAACGGG
This 254-nucleotide ribosomal RNA is filed under the name uncultured bacterium. RNAcentral's name for it is "partial 16S ribosomal RNA". It matches the Rfam family "Bacterial small subunit ribosomal RNA", at positions 524 to 776 of the family's 1533-position model. The record is from RNAcentral.